RNAcentral lists this microRNA precursor (90 nucleotides) under Human betaherpesvirus 5. RNAcentral describes it as "microRNA hcmv-mir-US25 precursor (hcmv-mir-US25-2)". Its record names the gene hcmv-mir-US25-2. The record is from miRBase by way of RNAcentral. Lineage: Duplodnaviria; Heunggongvirae; Peploviricota; Herviviricetes; Herpesvirales; Orthoherpesviridae.
CGGUUAGCGGUCUGUUCAGGUGGAUGAGGGCUCUUCACGGUCGGGCACUCGGCUGUGCCUGUCAUCCACUUGGAGAGCUCCCGCGGUCCG